AUCAAUUUCAUCAGAAUGGAUUGGAAGUAACAAAAAUAUGAAAGUUUCCAAAUGGGAAACCUCAGUUUCUUAGAGCCAUUUUUUAGAAUUUUUUUAAGUCCUAGUAGCUGAAGAUUAUGCUACCAGUGUCUUUCCCUUCGAAUUUAUCUAUCUGCUAUGUUUACUAAAUCAGAGAUUAAAAUGUCUUAAACACAUUAGUAGAUCAAGAUGUUAUUGCCCUGG
This 222-nucleotide unclassified non-coding RNA is filed under the name Hevea brasiliensis (rubber tree). The record is from RNAcentral. Lineage: Eukaryota; Viridiplantae; Streptophyta; Magnoliopsida; Malpighiales; Euphorbiaceae.